This 9317-nucleotide long non-coding RNA is filed under the name Medicago truncatula (barrel medic). Its description in RNAcentral is "long non-coding RNA (MTRU_LNC007703)". Lineage: Eukaryota; Viridiplantae; Streptophyta; Magnoliopsida; Fabales; Fabaceae. The record is from RNAcentral.
CAAGAUCCUCCAUUAUGGUAACUCCAAGUGACAUUUUUGUUAUCAAACCCGGUAUUAAUUUCCCAGUCUUUACCUUCAUAUGCAGGAUAACUAAUUUUUAGUGGCAUUUCUCCGACCAACUCAUCCCAACGAGCUUCAAUAAGAUCCAUGAUUGCAGUUGACUGCUCUGGAGUUGCUAAAGAAGAUAGAAUUGCAACACAGUUUCCUAAAGCGAACCAUCGAAAAUCCAUUCGAGCUGGACUGACAUUUCCGAUAAAGUAGCCACCGCAUUUUGGCAUAAAGUCAAAUAGCCAAUCUGGAAUUGAAUCCGGAUUAACGUUAAACUUAUUUACUGCAGUAUGUGAGUACUCCUCGGUCUUGUACCGAUAAAUGUUAUUUAGUUGCUGGAAGUCAAGCCAAAAGUAGCUUCUCAUGUGAAAACUUAGUGCAUGCAAACGUUUCACAACAAGCUCUACAUAUUCCUUAUCAUCAGCAGUAUCUUGUUUGAGCAUUGACAAAGCACAUCUCAAUGCCAUGAAGAAAAGUGCUUGAAUUUCUAUAGGAUAUCCAUAAACACCCUGCACGAAAAGAAAAGAAAAAAAAGGAAACAAAUAAUUAAGUAUGCAAGUUCUUGAAAAUCACCCAAAUUCAUAUUCAAGUGUUUAAAUUUAAAAUCAUGUGCAUAGAAAUUUUUUGGGUAUCAUUCAAUUAUGCGUUGACUCGUCAUUUUAUGAAUUUGACAUAGUUGAAUAAGAGUAAGACUUGUAAAAAUUUAAUAUCACAUCACCAAUAUGAUCUCUAACAUUUAAUAAGUAUAUAUGUUAGCAAUAUGAAUUAUAUUACAUACUGAGAAACAACUGCAAAUCAUGCCUUACCAUUCUUCGAUCAAUCAUGCAGCAUCCAUCAGCACAUAGGAGAGUUGGGAAUGUGUCAAACCCCUCGGACAAGCAUAGAGUCAAUAUAAGUUUCAUUCCUUUUUGACAAUCAUCAGAUUCAGACAGAGUUAAAUCCCCUGUAGAUUUUGUGUAAGCACGAAGCAAAAUGAUCCACCAAAAUCCAGAGUCAACAGGAGCAACUCUUCCAAUUGCACUUUCACCAAAAUCUGCAAUAAGAGUAUCUGUUUUCCUAACAGCAUCAUGAAGGACUUUGAAACUAGCUGGCAUAACACCUUCACCAAGCUUAAAUUGAUCUACUCUUUUUUCCCACCCUUGAAGACGCAGCGUCUUCAGUAAGAAGUUCUUAACUAUUUCCGGUUCACCAUUCAUCAAAAAGGCUAGUGCACUUGGAACAAAAUCGCGAACAAAAACCUAAAAAGCAAAAAUUUAUCAUCAAAUGUCAUACUCAUACUUAGAUAUGUGCAGAAACAAUUAUUCAGUGCGUGGAAGCCAUCACAGACAAUUUUAGUACUGAUUAAGGAAUUCGCUCACCUGAUCAUAAUUUAGAACUUCUUCUGAUUGAUGAUCAACAGCUGCAAGUGUGCCUACAGGUUUGCCAUUGAAAUAGACUAGAGACUUCCUGAGAGAUUCCCAGGCAUCAGCAAGCAUUGGCUGAGGCUCGAACGAGUUCUGAGCAGAUGAAAAUGAUCUUGCUCCAAUGGACAGUUCACUGAGUAAACUGUCAUCAACUGAUCUCUGUCUCUCUAUGUUUAGCCUUGGAUUGUCAAGCAAGCCAGAGAGAUCAAAAGCAUCCAUCUCGGAGAGCAAACACUGAGACCUGAUUUUCCUAAUUCCCACAGGCCCGUUCAUUCCAGAGAUCGAACACUGAGACUUGAUUUUCCUCAUUCCCACAAGCCCGUUCAUUUCUCCGAUAAUCGAAUGCCUUUAUCAGAAAUAGAUGUUACCUACAAUCAGAAGCAAACAUUUUACAAACAACCAAAAAAUAAAAUAAAAAAUAAAAACCAGUGAUGGCAUUGGAAACGUAAAACACAUACAUGGUGGUCAUUCUCACAUGCUAGCAGCUAAAAAAAUACCAAGGUAAAGGAACAAUAGUUUAUGAUCUCAUAGCUCAUGGGAGAAGCGUAAUGUUGUCCCAAUAAUUUUCAAUAGUAAGUGAGACCUAAAGUAAGUUUUACCGUAUGCAGUCUUUUUUUGUCCGCAUAUAAUGUCUUUUUCUUAUAAAACUUAAUGAAAAAUAUCUUUUGUUGGUAGACCCUAGGUUUAUUAGCCAUAACCCUUGUGCCGGCCCUAGAGAAGGCUAACACCAAAUUUCACUUUCUUGGUAAUCAAGUAAGCAAAAGAAAGGUCAAUUUUGCUUUUAGUUAGUAUUGGUUAGUGAGUUUUUUAGUAGAUUCAAUUUGAAACUAACAAUGUGUAUACAAAUAAAUAACCUAUGGAUAUCAAAUAAAAUGGAUUCAUUCAAUAUAUUCUAAAAACCUUCUCUAAAACUAAGUGUAAACAAGUGUGUUUGUGUGAUACUUUAUCAGCUUCAACGAGAGAGAACCUGAAGGAGGACGACGUGAACAGUGAGGCCUAGUGAGAUCUCUCCAAUUAAACAACGGUGUUGAUUGGCGGCUUGGACGGAAAAUAGUAUGCAAAGAGAGAAUUAAUGGAAGAAAAAAGAGUGGGGGAAGGGAAAAAGUGAGCAAGGGAUAGAAAGGUUAUAUUUAUAGGGGAAGCCGGACAGUAGAAAGUGAAAAUAGGUUUACUUGACAAAACCGGUUAAGACACGGUAAAGUAGGCAACACGAAACCGUUUUAUUUUGUGUCUCUCUCUAUAUCUUUGUACUCCGAGAUAUUCGAAAUUGGAUAUGGAAAUAUAAUUGAUAAGAAAGGAAAAAUAAGUUAUUGAGAGGAUUCUAAUCUUAUUUAUAGUAAUUAUAAAUUUGAACGUGAUAUACAAUGCUCAAAUAAGGAAUUGGUAUCAAGAAUAUUGUGCUUUUGCCUUUUCAGAUAUUACUUUAUGCAUCAUAUUGCUAUUAUUAAAAACUACAUUUUUUUUGUAAAAAAUAAUGGACAUUUGACCAAAAUAAAAAUUAAUUUUAAUUUUUUUAUGGUUGGAGUCAAACCAUGACACCCCUCCCCUAUUACUCCACACCACACUCUUUAACAUUCUCACCCUAGCCGCUAAGCCAUCUUUAUAUCUCUCAAAAUAAUUGAAACUAGUUAAAAAUAGUAAAGGGAACAUUAGGAUAAUCAAAAAGUGAUUUUCAGUAAAAAAAAAAAACUAAAAACACAAACAUGGCAUCUAAUACACACUGCUAUAGUCCGGGAAAUGGAAGGCACAUCAAAGCAAGAAAAAAAGAAGAAGAAGAAGCAUAAUGAAAGGUGCAAGCAACAAUAUAGAGAUUAGAAAACUUACCUAAGACUUAGACUCUGCUAGUAUAGAGAGUUACUAUCCUUCGAAAAUAGUACAAUUCUCACCAAAUUUUCUGUGUUAAUGUAGGGAGUUUUUAUAGAAUUUUCUUAAUGCAGUAAAUAUACCGAAUAGAAUAAAAGAAAGAAAAAUAAUUUAUCAUAUAGGGUAUAUAUAGAGUUUUAUGAAUGGCAUUACCAUUAAUCUCUUUCUUUUUCGUUGAUUUAUUUUUAAUUUAGCAUCAAUAGGUUUAUUUUAUUUUUUUUCUUUAGCAAAAGAUGGCAGCAGGUUUCCGGCCCUUUUCCCUUGUUCUUUUGUUUUUUCUUUUAAUUUUUGUAAUUGUUACUCGUUUUUCUAAUUUAUUUUAGUUUGUAAAAAUGGCAAUAUAAUUUUUUUAAUAGAUACCUAAGCAUAAAAUAUAGUCUUUUAAUUAUACAAUGUAUUUUAAUAUAUUGAAACCGAUAAAGGUCAUCUCCUUAAUUAACUUAUUUUUUGUUACUUACGUAUUAUUUAUGGGAACUUCUAUGGUACACUCACAAUUUUGAGUGUACCGGUACUCUUUUUUCAAAAAAUAUAUAAAUUAAAGAUCACUUUAAUGAAAUAAAAAGGUAUUUGUCAAUAUUUAUAUUUUAGAAAACAUCAUUUCAUAAGAAAAACCAUCAUUUCAUUGUUUAUAAGGAUCAUAUUACAAAAUUUACAUUUUGUCAUAAAAAAUAAUCAAUAUUCAUUGUUAUGAGUAAUAAAAAUUCUUAAAAAUUAAUUUUUAUUUCGUCGAAGCUUUUGAUAUAUAAAAUUUAAUUAUCUUAGUUGUCAAUGAUAGAAAAUAAUUAUUUUUCUUCAAAAAAACAACUCAUUUAUUAUUAAUUUUAUGACUUGGUGUACCGAUACACCCAAAUUUAUUGGGUGUACCAUAGAAUUUGCCAUUAUUUAUAUCGUGAUUUUUUUUUUUUUUGAAACAAUUUAUAUUGUGAUCUAAAGUUUCUAGUUUAUCAACCAAAAAAAUCAUAUAAAAUCAUCCUAUCAAAAACCUAUACCAAAUCAUCGUUGAUUUCCUCUUCGAAAUUGUAGGAUUUGGGCCAAAUCUAUAAAUGACAAAAUAUUGUCUAAUAGUCAAAUAUUGUCAAUCAGUUUCGUCAUUCUACAAAUUAAUUUUAAUAUUCAAUCUCCGCCAUAAAAUAGAGAUCAUAUAUAAAUUAAUUUUUUUUAGGGAGAGAUCAUGUAUAAAUAUAACUCUUUUUUUAGGGGAAAUAUAACUCAAUUAUUAAUAUAAUAUAUGUGUGUGUAUUAUUUCAAUAUACUAUGAUAUAUUAUGUUUAAAUAAAUUUUUUUACUCCUCCAUUAUUAUUUCAUACUUUUUACACACACAUAUAUAAUGCGGGGAAGCUCAGCUGAUUUGAGUUAAGGGAAAAGAAGUUGGAGGUCAUGGAUUCAGAACCGGACAAAGGAGAAAAAUAUUAAUCUAAAAAGUUAACCAUUAAUUUCAAAUAUAAAUUUAAAAAUAUAUUUCUCUUACAAGUAACCCUGGUUAUAUCAAACUUGCAUUCAUGUUUCUGUUCGUGAUGAGGCGGAACACAUUUUUAGAAACUUUAUAUGGGUACUCAUGACAAGAGAUAAUGUCAUCUAAUCUCCUGGAAAAACAUUAGUAAGCCUAAGAAUGAGGGUGGUCUUCGUUUUCAUUGUCUUCACACCCUUAACCAAGCAUAUAUGAUGAAGUUAGCAUGGUCUAUGAUUACCCAUCCCGAUAAACUUUGGGUGAAAUUUUUUCGUGCCAAGUACUCUUACAAGGAACAAACUCUCCCUUUAGUAGAGCACCACCAUUGUGACAUUUGUGUUUGAAGAAGUAUCACCAAAGUUUAGCAACGUGGGGAGGUCAAUAGUUAUUGUGUUAUCAAUAGUGGUCAAACUACUAGCUUUUGCUUGACCCGUGGAUGCGUGGUCAUGGCCUCCUUAAGGAUAGUUAUCUCAACUAUCCUUAUUGAGGAAUCUAACUUUUGUGUUUCUUAUGUCUUUAUUGAUAAUUAAAAUUGGCACAAGCUUGUAUCAGGUAUCCAUUUAUAUGUUUGUGGUUCGAACAUUAAGUCUUCAUCUAUAGGCGUUGAUGAUGAGAUGGUCACUGACUAGAAUGGUGAUUUUUCAAUCAAAUCAGCUUACAUCUCUCCAUUGAGUCUCAUGUUGCUAAUAUGUAGGGUUAUUUUUAUUUUAUUUUUUUUGACUUGGAAUUAGCAUUGACCUCAUAAAUUUGUGUAUUCUUAUAGAAAGUGUGUCAUGGGAGGUUACUUACUACCGAGGAGAGGAAGCGUCAACAUGUGACCCUUGAUGGUACUUGCAUAUUGUGAAGAUGUUUGUGAACAUUGAGACCACUUUAUCAACCAUGAUAUGGGGAGCAGUUUUUUUUUUUAAUUUGAGCCUUAUGAUUGGCUUAAAUGGAAUCUCACUUUUGAUGAAAUUGGCCCUCCUAAUAUUCACUAGUCAACUUAUUUUAUAGUAACCAUUUGGAGUCUUUAGAAGGAUCGUAGUUCGCUUAAUUUUUUAAGGUAAAGUUGAAAGGGUUAAAUAUGUUUUUGGUCUCUAUAAAUAUAUUAACUUUUCGUUUCAGUCCCUUUAAAAUUUUCCUUCAACUUUUGGUCCCUAUAAAAUUUUCAAUCAUUACUUUUGGUCCCUCUUUUAAAGUAAACUCAUAUGUAAAAUUUAUAUUUUUAUAUAAAAAAUUUCAGAAAAAUUCUUAAUAUUAUAAGAAUCUCUCCCUAAAAAAAUUAGAAUUUUUUAACAAAACAUGAAUUUAAUAUGAAUUUUUAUACAAUAUUCAUAUUAAAUUUUUAUUUUAUUAAAAAAUUCUAACUUUUUUUAUGAUUUUUUUUACAAUAUUCUACACAUUUCUGCACAAUUUCAUUAAAAAUUAAAAAAAAAUAACUUAAAAAUAGGGACUAAAAGAAGUGACUGAAAAUUUUAUAGGGACUAAAAGUUGAAGGAAAAUUUUAGAGUGACUAAAACGAAAAGUUGGUAUAUUCAUAGGGAUCAAAAACAUAUUUAAUCCAAGUUGAAAUUCAUUAAAAUCUUGCCUUCUUUGUCAAUGGUAUGGUUAAUUCUAUCUGUCAUGGCCUCCUUAAGUUUAUACCUAAGGUUGUGGUGGUCGUAUUAGAGAUCAUCGCGUCAUUUCAUUGAAGGUUUCCAUUGCAAUAUUGAAACCUCUUAUGUUGUUCAUGGUGUGUUGUGGGAUCUUUAUCACGACUUAAAGUUUGCUCGUGAGCUCCAUAUUUCCCCAAUUGUGGUUAACUUUGUGAACGACGGAUUUUGUGAUAGUGCCUCCCUUCGGCCUCUCCUUGAGUGAUGUGCUUCACUUGCUUUGUGGUCCUAAUUGAAAUGUCUCUCUUGCACACUUUUACAGAGAAACCAACACCAGUGUUCUUGUCAUUGCAAAUUUUGGUAAUGCUAAUAUUUUUUCUAGGAUUAUCCUCAAUACUCGUCAUGAACCCUUGAAGUUGCACCUUCAUUUUGAUGUUUUAGAGAGAGGUACAACCUGUCUUGUUUCCAAAUAGGUAGAGAAGGUGGAUAAUGGGGUUUCUAUGUUCGUUAAUGGGGUUUCAGCAUAAUAGUUAUAUUUUGGCAGGGGAUUACGGGUGAUCAUUUGUUGCUUUUUCUAUUUGAUUUUAAUUUUUAGGCAAAAUUACGUAAUUAGUCCUCUAACUUAAUUUUAAUUAUCGAUUCAGUCAUUUAUCUUCUUUUUUCCCAUUUUAAUCCUUUAUGUUCUAAAAUAUUAACAUUGUCAUCCUUUUUGCAUAAAAAAAAUUAUAAAUCCAGAAAACUCGUCACAGAGUGCAGAUCUUCAUGGGAAAAAAAACUCAAGUUCAUUAAAAAAAGCCAAAUACUCAGAGUUCAUCUUGAAAUAAACCCAAAUUUUCAUCAAAUCUAAAACCUAAAUAUUCAAAACAAACUCAUAUUUUCAAAGUAACUCAAAUCUUCAACUUCUUAUUUUACAAAGAGUCGAUCUAUUAUUCCCAAAAAGAAAUCCAAAACUGAAAUAUAAACAAAAACUCAAAUAUAUGAAUUGGUGUUGGUUGUUACUACUUGUAAUCAAACAAAAUCGACGUUGAUUGAUGUUGGUUGUUGCAUAUCAACAUUGUUAUUGUUCUCAUAUUCCAAGAUCUCAGGUUUUGAAAAACUAACUCCAACAACGUUAAAAUAGUGAAGAAGGUUUGAUUUUAGAAAGAUAAUGAUAAGACAAAUUUAACAUUAAAAUAUAGACCAGGAUGAUGAUAUGGAUUAUCAAAAAAUUGUGUUGAAUACUUCAAACUCCCCUAUAUAUAUUGAAAUUCCUCUUUAUUAGAAAGAAGAUUUUCUGACAGAAUAAUAAAAUCUAGGUUUCUAGGAUGAAGAUAUGAAUUUUGUUGAAUGUGAAGAUGAAUAAUAUGGAAUUUCUGGAAUUUUUAUGUAAAAAAGGAUAAUAAUGUUAACGUUUUAGACCAUAAAGGAUUAAAAUGGGAAAAUAAAAAGAUAAAGGACUGAAUUGUUACCUAAAAUUAAGUUACAGAACUAAUUAUGUAAUUUUUCCUAUUUUUUACCAAUCGUUUCUAUUUCUAAUGGCAACAAAAGAGUUAAAUUUUAUGAUAAAUUCAUUAUCUAGGCUCAUUUCAAAGUUUCCACAAGAGUUUAAUUAUGGGAGUGAAUGUGCAUAAUUCUUGGUUAGAAUAAGCGGCAAGAAUGUUCAAUUGCAGAAGUUAAGCAAAAUCCCGUUUAAAUUUCUUGAUUCACACUGCGAACAAAUUUCAUACUUUACCUUUUUUUUCUUGCAAUGUGAAAGUUCGACCAAAAUUAUGUAUAUAAAGAAAGCCAAAGCUUUAUUUCAUGAAACCUUGUUGAUAAUUGUCAGAAAACACUUUAAAUUUAAUGAAGAAUCAUUAUUUUUCUUAUAAUCCCAAGAAACAAAUGGGAGAGUAACAUGCAAUUAAUGAAACAAGAACUGAAUUGAAAUGUCUUUGAUUAUUAGGAAAAAGCAUGAUGCCAGCAGCAGCUAUUUUACACAAGCCAAACUUCCAAUCAAAUCAGGCCUACGAAGAAGGAAAUCACAAAGAAUAGUGCCGUGUAUUGAGAGAAACAACAAUAUCUCACCUUCUAAGUUUUCUCUAUUCUCUUUCUUUUUUGUACUAUUUAUCUAUCACCAAUAUUUCAGCAAGUCCAAGAAGAUGAUCUUUUAAUCACUGGUUUCAUCUGCUUGUCUUCUUCAAGGGAAAUCAUCCCCAAGUGUGAGGGGUCCUCCAGCAUCAUCUUUGCCACCAAAUAACCCGCAAUAGACCAUGUUUGGUAUUUUCUUGCCUGUUUCCCAACAUAUCUUCCAAGUUUACCAUCAUAAUAUUCAGGCCAUCCAUCCUUCAGUAAACGACUCUCGGCAAGUUCAAUUGCACGUCUUGCUAUUUGUGGUCGCCCUGUCUUGAUGCAAGCAGCUGUUACAAGCCACAGGAGUACUGCGCUCAAGAGCAUGAAACAAAAUGAAAAGUUAGAGAAGGACGUCAAAACUAUGUACAAAAUAUGUUGCAAAUCUUUUCUAUCAAACAUAAACCAGUAACCAUGGUUUAAAUCAGAUUAUCCAUAGAAAGGAUGAGGGGGAAAAGAAAAAGUUAAGGCAUGAACUCGGAUCAAAAUCAGAGGUAUGGUAAGCAUUAUCAAUCUGUUUGGCUGUACCAAAAAUGACUGUGUAUUUAGUAUAAUAUCCCACAAUAAACUAUAUUAAAGUUUUGCGAUGAAAAAGCUAUACAGAGAAAACCGCAAGUCAAAUGAACUUUGAAUAACUAAGCAUGAUGAGAGAAAGGGAAAACCUGGCCAAGAUCCUCCAUUAUGGUAACUCCAUCUGGUAUUUUUGGGAUCACAGCCAGUAACAAUUCGCCACUCGUGACUUUCUAUUGCAGGGUAACUAAUUUUUAGCGGCAUUUCUCCAACCAACUCAUCCCAACGAGCUUCAAUAAGAUCCAUGAUUGCCAUUGACUGCUCUGGAGUUGCUAAAGAAGAAAGAAUUGCAACACAGUUUCCUAAAGCAAACCAUCGAAAAUCCAUUCG